RNAcentral lists this ribosomal RNA (512 nucleotides) under uncultured bacterium. Its description in RNAcentral is "partial 16S ribosomal RNA". It matches the Rfam family "Bacterial small subunit ribosomal RNA", at positions 28 to 507 of the family's 1533-position model. The record is from RNAcentral.
GAUGAACGCUGGCGGCGUGCCUAAUACAUGCAAGUCGAACGAAACUUCUUUAUCACCGAGUGCUUGCACUCACCGAUAAAGAGUUGAGUGGCGAACGGGUGAGUAACACGUGGGCAACCUGCCCAAAAGAGGGGGAUAACACUUGGAAACAGGUGCUAAUACCGCAUAACCAUAGUUACCGCAUGGUAACUAUGGAAAAGGUGGCGAGACUACCGCUUUUGGAUGGGCCCGCGGCGCAUUAGCUAGUUGGUAGGGUAAAGGCUUACCAAGGCAAUGAUGCGUAGCCGAAUUGAGAGGUUGAUCGGCCACAUUGGGACUGAGACACGGCCCAAACUCCUACGGGAGGCAGCAGUCGGGACUCUUCCGCCCUGGGCGCCCGCCUGCUGGCGCCCCGCCGCGUGGGUGACGAAGGUCUUCGGAUCGUAAAACCCUGUUGUUAGAGAAGAACGUGCGUGCGCGUCCCUGUUCCCGUUUCGCCGGUCUCUCCCCCGAAAGCCCCGGCUCCCUACGUG